This 30-nucleotide non-coding RNA is filed under the name Rattus norvegicus (Norway rat). The record is from RNAcentral. Lineage: Eukaryota; Metazoa; Chordata; Mammalia; Rodentia; Muridae.
UACUUGUAGAUGAUGUUGGGGUAGAUAAAC